AUGCUACAGGUUAAUCUGCACCGUCAAAACUCAAGCCCUAUCUCUCUCUGCCCUAACGCUCUGACCAAGCCGCCACUCUCCUCCCAGCAAUGGACCUCUCAUCUACCCCCCAGCAGCUCUCGGCCUCUCGCCACCGCCCUCCUCCCAGCGUGCUCCUCUUGCCAUAGCAGCAGCGGCGGCCAGCGCUGCAGCGGGGGAUGCAGCAGCAACAACGGCGGCGUCGCAGGCGCAGCAGGCGCGGCAGCACGGCGGCGAGGGUGCAGCAGCAGCAGCGCGGCGGCGGGAGGGUGCUCCAGAUCCAGCGUUGCCUCGUGUCCCUUCCGUGUCCCAGCCGUGUCCUCCCUUUUCUUUCUUUCUUUUAAUUCUUAA
Molecule: ribosomal RNA, 369 nt
Filed under: Triticum aestivum (bread wheat)
Lineage: Eukaryota; Viridiplantae; Streptophyta; Magnoliopsida; Poales; Poaceae
Description: partial small subunit ribosomal RNA
Source: RNAcentral